GAUCCUGGCUCAGGAUGAACGCUAGCUACAGGCUUAACACAUGCAAGUCGAGGGGAAACGAUAGAGAAGCUUGCUUUUUCUAGGCGUCGACCGGCGCACGGGUGAGUAACGCGUAUCCAACCUGCCCACCACUUGGGGAUAACCUUGCGAAAGUAAGACUAAUACCCCAAUGACGUCUCUAGAAGACAUCUGAAAGAGAUUAAAGAUUUAUCGGUGAUGGAUGGGGAUGCGUCUGAUUAGCUUGUUGGCGGGGUAACGGCCCACCAAGGCGACGAUCAGUAGGGGUUCUGAGAGGAAGGCCCCCCACAUUGGAACUGAGACACGGUCCAAACUCCUACGGGAGGCAGCAGUGAGGAAUAUUGGUCAAUGGACGAGAGUCUGAACCAGCCAAGUAGCGUGCAGGAUGACGGCCCUAUGGGUUGUAAACUGCUUUUAUAAGGGAAUAAAGUGAGUCUCGUGAGACUUUUUGCAUGUACCUUAUGAAUAAGGACCGGCUAAUUCCGUG
RNAcentral lists this ribosomal RNA (505 nucleotides) under uncultured bacterium. RNAcentral describes it as "bacterial SSU rRNA". It matches the Rfam family "Bacterial small subunit ribosomal RNA", at positions 15 to 507 of the family's 1533-position model. The record is from RNAcentral.